This 108-nucleotide ribosomal RNA is filed under the name Vibrio parahaemolyticus. RNAcentral describes it as "partial 16S ribosomal RNA". It matches the Rfam family "Bacterial small subunit ribosomal RNA", at positions 1435 to 1533 of the family's 1533-position model. Lineage: Bacteria; Pseudomonadati; Pseudomonadota; Gammaproteobacteria; Vibrionales; Vibrionaceae. The record is from RNAcentral.
UUAACCUUCGGGGGGACGCUUACCACUUUGUGGUUCAUGACUGGGGUGAAGUCGUAACAAGGUAGCGCUAGGGGAACCUGGCGCUGGAUCACCUCCUUAUACGAUGAU